Nothobranchius furzeri (turquoise killifish) is the source of this 12967-nucleotide long non-coding RNA. RefSeq lists it as uncharacterized. NCBI's taxonomy places the organism in Eukaryota, Metazoa, Chordata, Actinopteri, Cyprinodontiformes, Nothobranchiidae. The record is from RefSeq and is a predicted model, not a curated record.
CCCCCCCUCUCAACGGACGCCCCCUGGCGUCCUAGCGGAGGCAGCCUCAAAUUCCCUGAUCAGGGCAGGAUCCUCGAUGUAGGACCCCGGGAUCCACGAGCGCUCCUCAGGUCCAUACCCCUCCCAGUCCACGAGGUACUGGAUACCACGACCCUGACGACAGGAGUCCAGUAUCUUCUUUACCGUGUAAACAAGGCCCCCUUUGUAGAGACGAGCAGGAGGAGGAGGUGGAGGAGUGGGACAGAGAGCGCUAGAGACCACAGGCUUAACCAAAGAAACAUGAAAAAUGGGGUGCACACGGAGGGAGGAAGGAAGGUCUAAGGUCCAGACGGACCGUGGUAGGAAAGGGUACGGCGGUGAUCUAAAGAGGCCCAAUAAAUCGAGGGGACAACUUGCGGGAGGACGCCUUAAGAGGAAUGUCUUUGGAAGAUAACCAAACUGACUGACCUGGGUUGUAGACGGGAGCAGGGCGGCGAUGGAGAUCAGCAAGCUAUUUAUUGCACUGUGCAGUGCGGUCCAGGGUGGCCUUGGUGGAAGCCCAAGCCUGUUUAGCACCUCGAAGGAACUGAGGAAUGGACGAUGACACUGGGGACUGUUGAGGAAAAAGAGAUGGCUGGUAGCCUAGGGAGGCUUCAAAAGGAGACUGACCGGUAGCAGAUGAGAUGUGGCUGUUCUCCACCCAGGGUAGGUGGGAGCUACAGGUGGCAGGGUGAGACGAACAGACACAACUUAGCAUGGAAUCCAGCUCCUGGUUCAUACGCUCACACUGCCAAUUUGUUUGCGGGUGAUAUCCGGAUGUGAGAGCGACCUGGGCUCCAAGGGACUCAGCGAACUCCUUCCAAAGGUGGGAAAUGAACUGUGGACCUCUAUCAGAAAGGAUUUCUUCGGGGAUGCCAUGAAGAUGGAAAACAUGCUUUAUAAGGAGUUGUGCUGUGACUGUGGAAGAAGGCUUAGAUUUUAGAGGAACCAAAUGACAGGCCUUGGAAAAACGGUCUACUAUGGUGAGAAUAGUGUUAAAACCAUGAGAGUUAGGAAGUCCACAAACAAAAUCCAACGCUAUGUGGGACCAGUGGCGAGAAGGGACUGGCAGUGGUUGCAAUAACCCGGCUGGUGGGCGAUGAUCUCCCUUAUGUUGGGAACACACGUGGCAACCCGAGACAUAAUCCUUAGUGUCUUUAUACAGGGAAGGCCACCAAAAUGUUCGUUGAAGCAGAGCUAUAGUCCUUCCCACCCCCGGGUGUAGAGAGAAUCUGCCUGUGUGUGCCCAGUGAAUGACUUUACCUCUAAGAUGUUGAGGAACAGUCAGUUUCGAGGUCCGUUACUGGGCCCAGGAUCUGUUUUAAGAGCCUCCAAAACUUAGUCUCGGAUUUCCCAGGUGAUAGCACUGAUGAUAAAGCUGGGAAGAAGGAUGGAGGCAGGUUCUGAGUCCGUGUCGGGAGCGUACUGUCUGGACAGAGCAUCAGGUUUAACAUUCUUAGGACCUGGAUGGUACGAGAUUUGGAAGUUGAAUCUGGAGAAGAGGAGUGACCAUCGAUAUUGUCGCGGGUUGAGUUGCUUUGCUUCUUUCAGAUAGACUAGGUUUUUGUGAUCUGUCCAUAUAAUAAAAGGUGUCUCCGCUCCCUCCAACCAAUGCCUCCACUCUUCAAUAGCAAGUUUAAAUGCCAGGAGCUCACGAUCUCCCACAUCAUACCUGCUUUCUGCUGGUGUCAGGCGACGAGAAUAAAAUGCGCAGGGAUGGAGUCUGUUAUCUUCUUUUGCCACUUGAUAGUACUGCCCCAACACCAGUAUCUGACACAUCUACUUCCAGAACGAAUUGUCGUUCUGGGUCUGGACGAUGGAGUACUGGUGCAUUAGUGAACUUGCUCUUUAAUAACCCGAAAGACCUUUCUGCUUCUGUGGACCAAACAAAGGGUUUGUUAAUGGAUGUCAGCCUGGUUAGGGGAGCAGCUGUUUGGCUGUAGUUUCGUAUGAAUCGGCGGUAAAAGUUGGCAAAACUGAGGACCGUUGGAGCCUUUUUCUGGUCGAAGGAGUGGGCCAAUCUGUGACUGCUUUGACCUUUUCAGGAUCCGCUCUCAGCCGCCCGCUCUCAAUGACAAAGCCCAGGAACUUCACUGUUGAUACAUGGAACUCACACUUUUCUGCUUUGACAUAAAGACGGUUUUCAAGCAGGCGUUGUAAAAUGGCUCUUACAUGUUAGAUAUGUUGUGUAGGGUCUUUGGAGAAAAUAAGGAUGUCGUCGAGAUAAACGGUAACAAAACGAUUUAGAAAAUCACCCAGAACAGAAUUAACUAAAGAUUGGAAAACGGCUGGGGCGUUAGUCCGAAUGGCAUGACUAGGUAUUCAUAGUGUCCAAUAGGAGUUUUGAAUGCGGUCUUCCACUCAUCUCCCUCACGGAUUCUCACUAGAUGAUAGGCGUUUCUUAAGUCCAAACGGCUAAAAAUGGAUGCGUCUUGUAUGGGUUCAAACGUGGAUGAAAGAAGUGGAAGUGGGCAUUUAUUGCGAACAGUGAUUUGGUUUAACCCUCUGUAAUCAAUACAAGGUCUGAGGGGUCCCUCCUUUUUUUGGGACAAAAAAAGAAACCUGCACCCAAUGGAGACAAAGAGGGGCGAAUGAUACCUGCAGCCAGGCAUUCAUGUAUGUAUUUCUCCAUGCUCUCACGCUCGGGCUUGGAGAGGUUAUACAGUCGGCUUGAAGGUAAUGGGGCCCCCGGCAGGAGAUCUAUGGUACAGUCAAAAGGCCUGUGUGGAGGCAGAGAAGAGGCACGGUCUUUGCUGAAUACCUGGCAGAGGUCAUGAUAGACGUGGGGAACUGUUGUAAGAUCAAUCUCCUCUGGGGGCGUCAGUGGUGAAGGUGGACCAACAGGUAGAGCUGAACGAAGACAACUCUGAGAGCAGUCAGGACUCCAACCCAGUAUCUUAUUUCUUUUCCAGUCCAUUGAUGGGUUAUGUUGCAGCAGCCAGGAGUGACCCAGAACCACUGGCGACUGAGGAGAGGGGAACACAAAGAAACUGAUCAUCUCCGAGUGGUUACCUGACACCAUGAGCCGUGAAGGGAUGGUUUGGCUGGUAAUGGUGGUGAGAGACUUGUUGUCCAAAGAUGAAACAGAGAGGGGAGUAGGAAGUCUGGUGGUGGGAAUCUUCCACCUUUCCACGACUCUUUCAUCCAAGAGGGAUUGCUCGCAUCCAGAGUCCAAAAGUGCUUCGAGCGUCACAGGUCUAGAAUCAAUAGACAACAAACAUGAGAAAAAACGCCGGGAACCAGAAUUUGAAUCUCCACCCACCAGUAGUCCCAGCUUUACUGGCGGGCUCCCCCUUUUGGCAAUUUAGGGCAGUUACUCACGAAAUGUCCUGCCGUUCUAUAGUACAUACAAAGCCUUUGUUUCUGGCGGUGCUCUCUCUCUUCCUGUGUUAGACGGGUUCUUCCCAUCUGCAUGGGUUCGUCAGUAACAGGUUGUGGGUGAGGAGGAGGAACUCGGUCUUGCUCAUGGGCUGCGGCUGCUACUGGUAAGGGGGCGUGUCUGCUGAGCUCCCAUUGACGCUUAUCAAUGGAGAUGGUAAGUCUUAUAAGUUCCUCCAGGGAACUUGGUUCUGGACACAAGGCUAGCUGGUCCCUCACCUUGUUGCUCAGGGAGUUAGUAAACACGCCUAUAAGAGUGUCCUCAUUCCAGUUGGUCCUUGCUGCGAGAAUACGGAAAUCCACAGCCAGGUCCGCCACAGAUCUUUUCCCCUGGGUGAGAGCCAAGAGCUUCUUCCAGAUAUCUGAAAGUGACUCAUGUCCACCAAAUGAAAGCUUAAAAUCCGAAAGAAACACAUCAUAAGGUCCUUGCAAAAAAGAGUCAUGACUUUUAGCUUCAGCCCACUUAAGCGCUCGUCCUCUUAACAGUCCCACUAUAUACGAGAUCUUGGCCGAAUCAGAUACAAAAGCCGAAGGACAGCGUUCAAACUCUAGUUUACAUUGCAGCAGGAAGCUGUUACUGUCAUCAAACUCACCAUGAAAAGUUUCUGUCUGAGGUGAGGGUGCCACACGAAAAUGGUUUCUCUCCCAUGGAGAGGCUUGCUCCUGUCUAGCAGGAUUUUCAGAUAGGGCGGCAGCUGACGGUGGUACUGAUGGCUGUGGAUUCUGAUUUGUUUGGGAGAGGGUUUCAUGUAUUUGACGAAUGAGGGUUUCCAGUUGUUGAUAUCACUGGUUAGCUGCGGAGAGUUGUUCCAUUACCAGGGGUAGGUUCUGUUCCUGUUGGCUUAAACGUUGUGACAAAUUAGAUAAUGCUGAUUCUGCUGGGUUCGAAUGUUGGCCGGAUGAUUCUGUCAUAGUCUGAGGUAUUUGCUUAACCCAAGACAAGCAGAAUCAGAGAUCGGAGACAGGUUUGAUAGUAAAAGGUAAAAUGAUAUUUAUUUAAUAGGAAAACUAAGGGCGCACUGAAGUCCAGUGGAUAUCCAAAUCAGGAAGCGGUGUCUACAGGAAAACAGAGGUGAGUAUGGGUCUUGUAGUUCCGGGAGAUUUUAUUUGUAGGCGGACUUACUAUGCGGAAGAAGAGUUGUUGUUUGGAGGGGGAGUGAGCCGGGGUGAUAUCCAAGAUGGGGAAGCAGUCCAAGAUGAAGGUGAGUCGGAGAGUGAGCGAGGAUAUUGAUCCGGAGAGGGAGCGUGAGCGAGGUGGAGAGCGGGUCGGCAGGCGGAGGAGACAAACAGGAUCGAACCAGAGAUUUCCUUCCAGGAGCAGAGAGAGUUAUCCAAGAAUCCAGGAACCCGAGGUGAGUAUCAAAACAUCACUUGAGCGAAUAAUCCAGAGUCAAAAAUGCAAAACUGUAAGAGCAAACAGAGUAAAAACUCGGGAGGGCAAGCAACUACCAGUUAACGGCAAUCAUCCGGCGUCGUAGUCUGGUCUUCCUCCUCCUUAUAAAGCCGGCCCGCUGAUGAGAAACAGCUGUUGCUCCCUCUCCUGCAAUCAAAGCUCAAAGGUGGUGAAUGAUGAGACGAGUACUCACCCCGGCUCAUGACAAAGAUGACCUCUCAGCAAUCUUCACCGCAGUGGGAGUAAUGAGGAGUACUUCGAAUGGACCUCUGGCUGCCCCAUCUGUUUCGCUUCAGCACCUUCAUCAGAACCCAAAUUCCUGGUUUCACGACCUGUGGUGAAAAAGCACAAGAAAAUUCUGGGAGAUCACUGUUGAUUUGGAAUUGUUUUCAGCAACAAUCAUCUAAUAUUUCAGGUAAUUCCAUCCAGGCAGUGUAAUAAUGCGAGGAAAUUGUUAUCAGCCUCCCCUCCUCUUGAGGCAUGAGGCAACUCAGGGCUCACCAGAAAAAAAAACAUAAACAAAAGGGUCCGAUACUGGCAAGCAUUGCGCCAACCCGAUGUUAAAAGUGGACCUCACAUACACGUGAAAAACACCCAUCCCAAGGAACUUGCAAUUACUAGUUCACGUCAGCAAGGGGCAGAGUCGUUCAACACAGUGUGCAUAAAACAACAAAACAAACCAAAACAAACUAAACAACUAACAAAAAGCCAUAAUCUGUGAUUUAAAUCACCUAGGGGUAACAGGAGAAAUGGUAGAAAAAAAACUGAUUGCAAAAUUGUAAUCCAAUGAAAUCAAAAAGAAUCAACCCGUCAGGGAAAAACAGUGAGCUUGUCAACACCCCCAAGCUCAUAUCAAUAAUUUAUUAUUUUAUCAUAGACUCUAUGUCUUUGCUCUCAUUAUUCCAGAAACUUUCACCUCUAGUGACUUCUUAAUUUAAUCUCAUUGCUUCUAACACUGGAAUUAACUAACAACAAAACCAGUCCUAAUUAUAAAAAUAAUAUUUCAACUUCACAUAGAUUCAGCAGGGUAAGGUUACUUCAGAGAACAUCAACAAUGUACAAUGUCACUCAAAAAUUCUACUCAAUGUGUAUAAUUUGUCAACAGGAGAUAAAUACCGCUAAAUUAAAGCUCCAUUAGUGAAAUCGGACAGCAGAAGUAUCUAAGGAAAAUAAAACGGUACGUUAAAUAGAACAACAGAUUUAUCCAAGGAAAAUAAAACUCAUCUAUCACAUAGAGACAGUGACCGAUCAAAAAUAAAACAACUGAUGGUGUUCUUAGAUACACACAACCAUAAAGGUGUUUGAAAAGAAGGUAACUGUUUCAGGAAGGGAAAAGACGUUCUAAUCAAAAGAAAAGAACAAACCAAGAAAUAAUUCAGAAUUUACAAAAGUGUACUUUGUAUAAAAUGGUUAUACUCAGCAGGCAUACGGCCGACCUUCCGUUGAAAUAUAGUUGAAAUAUGGUUGAAAUUAUGACGGUUGUAAUCUCAAUGGUGAAACAACGGUAAAACAACACUGAAUGCCCAACAAUUACAUUUAUGUCAGUGUAUCAUUGAACGUCAACGUUGGAAUAUGGUUGGAUUAUAAACUAUAGUGAUUGUUUCAACAUUAAAACAACAGUUGUACAUGACUGAGCAAAGAAAAGAUAAUUGGCUCGGAACACACUUUGAAAGCCAACUGAGCCGACCUAUAAGUGAAAGUGCAGAAAAUGAUACUUUCCGAUCUAGGUUGGUUUAGUGGUGAUUUCUUGGCCACUGGCCCCACCCACCAGUUCCCCACGACCGAGAUGCACUUCUGAGUAUAUAGCGCUAGGUGGCAGUCUGCAUGUUUUUUACGUUAGUCUGCAGAGGAAGAAGAAGAAAACUAAAACGAAGAAGAGCUGCAUGAAGGAUAAAAGGAGCAGGGGACGGAGUCGAAGCAGAACACUGAGAAGAAGCAGGACCAGAGGUGUGUGUGGCUACAACGUUUGAAGGUCAUUUAAGUUUUUAAUUUUCUCAAAAACCAACUGUGAACCUUAUUUAUGACUUUAAACUACGGAGCCGCAUAACAUUACAGCUAUUCGGGGAAACAAAUAACCGAAACUGAUUUCAAAUUGGACGAAAAAGGCUAAACGAGCAGGAAUCCAGGUGAGAUUAAGGCUUCUUUUGAAGCAUACAGUAGUAAACAUCGAUCAUUCAGCUCCUUGUUCUUUGUUUGGCAACCUGAGAGCCACUUCCGCAUUCCCGCCAUGUCGCGAUGCAGCAGGGUUUCUCCGUCCAUGUUUCCUAGGUCUGUUUUUUCUCAUUCUUCAGAUGUUUCUCCUUCUGUUACCUCCAUGAGUGAUUUUUGCAAACAUAAUCCUGCUAACUCGUGUCCACUAACUCCAGCUGUUUCUGCAGUUUCUGAUUCCUCCACCUCACUCAGCAUGGCUCUAUUAAACACCCACUCCAAUAACAUUAAGUCCUUCCUGUUUAAUGAUCUAAUUCUCUCUAAAAACCUGGAUUUUCUGUUUUUGACUGAAGUUUGGCAGCAAACAUCUCAUUAUUCUGGUGUGAUUGAACUCUGCCCGAGUGUAUUCUUUCAUAGCCUGUCACAGGGUUCUGGUCGAAGUUGGCCUGUGUACAACAAAUAGUAGCAAUCAAAGAAGAUUUUGGUGAUGCAGAGUGUUCCAAAGCCACUGAGACUGAAGACAUGUGUGACCUGGAUGGCCACAGCAGCAGUGAAAGUUGUUUAACAGAAACAGACACCUUACCAGUAGAAUCCUGUGAUUUAAGGAAUUAUUUGGCUAAGUGGGCUGCUCGCAAUAAGGCAACACGAGCAUCUGCUGAUGAGCUCCUUGUUGUCUUACGAAAACACGGACAUUCGCUGCCUAUAGAUGCAAGAACACUAUUACAAACUCCUCACCAAAUCAAUGCAAAGAAAUUAUGUGGUGGCCAUUAUCUGUAUUUUGGUCUAGAACCAGGAAUUCUGAAAAUAUGUUCACAGUUUCCAGAUGAAUUCCUUAGAGACGGUUGUGAUGAUUUCCCUCCUCUUCCCUGUGUACCCAACAAGUUAAAUAUUGUACAGUCUGGUAAGUGAUCAUGUUAAACAUUUUAUUUUUGUUACUGUACGGCAUAUUUAAAUAUGGUUCAUGAAAGUUUGGUAGAGCUUUGCUUACUUUGUCUUUCCUAUAGACAAAAUUGGAUUAGAUGAAAGAUACGAACAAAGCCAAAGAGAGUCCCUCUCUGGCAGCCAACAGAAAACUCCCAGCCACUCCUGCUCUCAAAGCCAACGACCAUUAAGCCCCAGCCGCCUCCUCUCUCGAAGUCAACGACCAUUAAGCCCCAGCCGCACUCGCUCUCGAAGCCGACAACCAAACCCCCAGCCGCUCUCGCUCUCGAAGCCGACGACAAAGCCCCAGAUGCUCCUGUUCUUGAAGCUGACGACCAAGACCCAGCUCUCCUGUUCUGAAAGCAGAUGACAAAGCCCCAACCACUCCUGAAGCCAACAACAAUCAACUCCAAGCCUCUCCCGCCAUCGAAGCCUACAUCCAAGCCCCAGCCACUUCCUUUCUCACAGCCAACAACCAAGCCCCAGCCACUUCCUUUCUCACAGCCAACAACCAAGCCCCAGCCACUCCAGCUCUCGCAGUUCUUCUAACUCCUCCAACUUCCCUUUGUCAGAAGAAAAAUUCCAGAAGAAAGUGCUUCAGCUGCUCAUUGAAAUGCUUGAUUCUGGAAGAACAGAUCUCGGAAUGACACAUGGCACAGCAGUGCAAUUCAAGCCCGCAGACACCCAGAUGGAUUUCAGGGAACUGGAGAGUCGUCUCAAAAACGAGCAAGGGAGAGCAGCCUUUGAAACUGACAAAUUCAAUGAUGGCACAAAUUAACCUGAAGGGGAGGUGUGGGAAAAUAGCCUUUUCUGAGUGUCUUUGCUCUUCCUGAUCAUCUGUGAUGCUGUUGCCACCACACACCAGAUGACCCAGACACAAGUAAUGGAGAUUGUGUCUAAAUAUUUGAAAUAUGCACCAGAGAGUGUGGGUGGUGGUGGCCAAAAAAAAAUACCUCCCUCCCUUGAGUGACUAGUUCUGUUUUUAUUUUAAAAAAAAAACAUUUUUUUACUUUUUUUUUUAUUUUUACUUUUUUGAUUGCUAUUUCAAUUGAAUAACAAUUGUUAUUCCUUGUUGUUAUAAAUAAACAGUUUGUUUUCUUUUAAUUGACUAUUUCUUUAUUUGCCUGAUGGCAUUUAUUCUGUGUCAAUCAAUAUUGCACACAGCUAUGAUGGAUAAAGUAAAUCAUAUGAAUGUGUAAAAAUGUAGAAGUCAGUUGGGUAUGGUGGUAAGUGUUGAAAUUGUGUUGGAAAAUCAACAUUAAUUAAACAAUGAAAAGGCCUUGUGAUAUCAACAUUGAAUCAAUGCUGGAUUUGGUUUUGAUUUUGAAAGGUGAAUCAACAUUGAUAUCCCGAUGUUGGAACAUCGGUCUUCUUUAAAACAAAGAUGUUGUUCUUCGCCCCGGAGUCCUGGUCAUCAAACUCCCAUCCCAGGUGGUCUUCUUGAAGGAUGCAAACAGACGAUUGCAGCUUCUGCUUUUUCUCUUCAUCCAGUCGACCACCUCCAAGCCCUUGUUCCCCGCAAUUUUUUCCAUGGAUUAAAAGUGUGCUGCGUAUCUUUGUCUUGCUUUAGUGAAGUGUUUCGUAUAUGUUCACAAUGUCUGACGACUUCUGUGAGAUGUUCUUUGAUCUGCUUCAUGGCUGUCUAUAGAUAUCUUUAUGUGGGUGGGGUAGACAAAUAGGAAGUGGCAUACUGACCUUUCUGUUGCUUUCAACGCACAGUUAAAAACAUUGUGCAUGUCUCCAUCACACUCCACAGGCCUUCCUCGGAGCCCUUGCAUCGAUUCAUUUUGGCAUUGCGUCUCUUUAUUACCAAACUAAUGGAGAAGUAUAAACCAGGCUUUACACCCCAACUGACUCAGCAGCAUUGAGGCGGAUUGAAAGUGUUGAGUCAGGGACGAAAUUUUGAUUUCAGAAGUGGGGGGGACACAGCAGGCUUGUGCGGAUUUGGGGUGGGGGGUGUUAUGUAAAGACCCCUUGACACGUCACGUGCCCAUCUCAAUAAUUUUUCCAUCCUCUCUCUCUAUAUAUAUAUAUAUAUAUCAAAGUUAAAAAAUGUACAACUCUAUUAUUAUUUUUAUUUAUUAUCAUUAUUGAAGUGCAGUUUUGGCUGUUGACAAUGGAUAGGCCAUUGUAUUUAUUGUUUUGGGUCUUUUUUAUUGUUUUUGGUGCAACAUUUUCUAACAGGGAGUGAGAUUCCUUUUUUAUUCAAUUUUUGUUUGUUAUUUUUAUUCAUUUAGAAGUUCUGGUUCUGGACAUUUCAAUGUUAAAUGAAGGUUUAUUUGUUGCAUUUUAAAGGGUGUACUUGCAUUAUUAUGAUAUAUUAACAUUAUAUUAGUGGUUAUUUUGGUCUAGAUAAUGUUGACAAUAUCGUUUAUCAUCAACAAUUUGUUGGACAAAAUAUCGUCCAGCAAAAUUUGUUACAUUCCCAGGCCUAGUCAAAAGUAUAAAAAUUAUUUAUACAUAAACGGUCCCUCCUGAGAUCUGGCCGUUUGUUCAUUUGCUGUGUUAGAGGACAUGCUGAACUAAUGUUUUACACAUGAUCAUCACCCUAACAUUUGAGUGUAUAAAAACAUAUUAAAUAUGUUUUUUCCCUUAAAAGUGUUUAAACAGUUGUUGCAUUUCAACACACAAAAAAUAAAUGGAAAAAAUAAGAUAAAUCUAAUGAAAAGUGUACAUCUUUGACAUUAAGCUUAAAAAAAUCUGUUGACGAUGAUGAUACUGUUCAUUUUUCAGAGCUUUUUAAUGUGAACAUAUACAUUGCAAUAGAUAAGUUUACAAUAAAGUUAAAUGAUAAAAGUUUUGAAGUUACACUUCUACUACUACUAGUAAUAAUAAUUAUGAUGAUAAUAGUAAUAAAAAAAUAAUUAUUAUAAUAAUACGAAUAAAUUGUGUCUGAGGAGUCAGUUAUGUGGAGGAGAUGAGUUUGUAAAAGUUAGUUUUGAGUAUGUGUGUGAAGGAGGAGGUGAGUCUGAGCUUAAUGCAGGGGUGUCACAUGUCCAACUUACGUUUAGACUUUGAAAGAAGUCUCUUAUAUCCACUUUUUGUUUUCUUGACAUGCUGCCUCCUGGCUGUGCCUAACUACCAAAGACUCACAAAUGAACACUUAUUCAAAUGUUAUGUAAUGAAAGCUGAGCUGAGCUCUGAUAGUACACAGCGUCUAGUUGACGAUGUGACUCAGUACCGGUGUUCCCUAGCGGCUCCAAACUAGCAAAACAACGUGAGCACGUUCGGACUUUUUCCAACUUGAGUGACAGCAGCAACAGCCAAUAAUACGUUAGCAAGUAUCAGCAGAGCCAAUAGAUUAGCUUUUGGGCGGGUCUAAUUGUAAACCGGUUUCCGUUUCGGUCCUAGUGCUCAACCAAAUCCAUUUAAUGGAGCGUUUUUGGACGGAAAAAAGUGCAGGGGACCAAAACUGCCUUUUGAAAAAGUGGGGGGGACAUGUCCCACCCGUCCCCCCCCAAAAUUACGUCCCAGUGUUGAGUUGCCACUUUUCAUGUGAGAAGAAAUUCCAGUAAUGGUUUGUAGUCUGAGGCCUUCAGAGUUGUCCUGUCUGUGUUGCCUUCAACACAUCUUUUAAUCUUGUAAAUCCCUGGGACUUAUUUUGUGAGAUCUGAUCAAAAAAGACCUAAAAUGUUGUUGUUUUUAUAGUGCAGUACCGCUGUUUACUGAGUUAGAGGUCAAGCGUACUGUCUGUUAAAGGGAAAUGAAACGCUCAUUGUUCCUGUAUCGGCUUCUUUAGAGUCAGAACACUUUUUCAAGUACAAGUACAAACAUGUGAUGUUGGCCCGAUACUUGGUGAUGGUAAAGGGUAAGAAUUCUGUGUUAACACAGCCCCUUUAAGGAUUCUACAACUCCCCAAAGUACCUUACAACACAGUCCCUCAUCUACACACAUUCACACACACACACACACACACUCACUGAGCUACAUUGUAGCCACAGCUGCCCUGGGGCUCACUGACAGAAGCAAGGCUGUCGUCAUACACUAGUGCCACCAGUCUCUCAGAACAUCACUAGCAGGAAAGGCAGAUGAUGUGUCUAGCCCAAGGAUAUGACUGCAACAGACUGUGCAGGGCUUCAACGGGGUGGGCAUUUAAAUCCUCUGCCACUUUUGCCCUUCAAAGAAAACAUUGGUAUCUGAACAUCCCUGAUAAUAAUUAUUUUUUGGGGUUGCUUGGAACAAAUACACAAAACAUGUAUUCAAUAAAACAAGACAAAUAGAGGAAUAAUAUUUGACUCUUAAUGGAGCAAAAUUAUUGAUUAAAUCCUUAGAUUGGGCUCAGGCUCAAGGCAUUAAAGCAAAGUCCCAGUCUUCUAAAACAGGAUUUAAACAUUUAUAUGUUUACAAAAUGGUGAUUGUAGCAAAGUGUGACUCUUGAAAAGAGAUUCAGAACUAACCUUGUUUUCAGUACCAAGAAUAUAAACACCUUAACAAACCUCACCUGCAGGUAGAACAAGGUUUCUGCUGUCAUAUUUCUGUUUGCUGAAGACAUCAGAGAUCAGUCUGAACAGUUUACAAAUUGUGUGUGUGGAAAUGCACAAGUGAUAACCCAUCAGCGUGCACAGAUUGUAUUGUCAUGUGCUGGAAUUAUGAAUUCAUUUACACAUUUAUAGUAAAACCUGCCGGUUCAUAUUUAUUCAUGCUUUGAUUCCAUGCUGACUUGAUAUGAGUUCUGCCCUUAAAGGAUUUCUGCACUUCUGCACUUACAGCUGACACCAACCUCACACAGAAUCUUAAGAAAUGUACGCAGACAGGGAACAACAUGUCCUGUCUCUGUCACUGCAACGUCACGUCUGCCACAACGAUGUGCAGCUUAACCCAUCUUCUGCUAGAAAACACUAUCUGUUGGACAAAAUGGAGAAAAAUAAAUAAAUGAUCUGAGGCAAGGUUUUCAAAUUGAACUUGAAACUGAAAUUGAAGAAUGAUGUUUGGAGACUUUGUCAGCUUUUCAUUGCUGGAAAAUAAUCCAUGUCUCUAAAUUUUUUCUGACUUCUCCUAAAAUGUUCAGUAAAUAGUAUUAAAGUGAGCCUAUAUAAAAGGACUAAUGUAUUAAUUACUCCUGAUGUAAAGAAUGACAAGGAAGCAUAUAUGUGUGUGUGUGUGCGUGUG